RNAcentral lists this unclassified non-coding RNA (337 nucleotides) under soil metagenome. Its description in RNAcentral is "partial contains 5.8S ribosomal RNA, internal transcribed spacer 2, and large subunit ribosomal RNA". The stretch from base 2 to 120 matches the Rfam family "5.8S ribosomal RNA", at positions 36 to 154 of the family's 154-position model. The record is from RNAcentral.
UAUGAAGAACGUAGCGAAAUGCGAUACGUAGUGUGAAUUGCAGAAUUCAGUGAAUCAUCGAAUCUUUGAACGCACAUUGCACCUCUCGGUAUUCCGGGAGGUAUGCCUGUUCGAGCGUCAUUUGUACCCUCAAGCUCUGCUUGGUGUUGGGUGUUUGUUCCGCCUCUGUGUGUGAACUCGCCUCAAAACAAUUGGCAGCCGGCGUACUUGUUUCGGAGCGCAGCACAUUUUGCGAUCCAGAUCAACGUACAGCGGCAUCCAAGAAGCCUUAUUUAACGCUCUUGACCUCGGAUCAGGUAGGGAUACCCGCUGAACUUAAGCAUAUCAAUAAGGAGGA